GGGCUCUCACUUUGUCAGCACAUAUACUAAAACAGGAACGAUACAGAGAAGAUUAGCACUGCCCCUGCACAACGAUGACACACAAUUUGUGAAGUGUUCCAUAUUUUU
Small nuclear RNA from Octodon degus (degu), 108 nucleotides. The record is from Ensembl. Lineage: Eukaryota; Metazoa; Chordata; Mammalia; Rodentia; Octodontidae.